Molecule: ribosomal RNA, 433 nt
Filed under: uncultured bacterium
Lineage: Bacteria
Description: partial 16S ribosomal RNA
Rfam family: Bacterial small subunit ribosomal RNA
Source: RNAcentral
AACGAACGCUGGCGGCAUGCCUAACACAUGCAAGUCGAACGAGACCUUCGGGUCUAGUGGCGCACGGGUGCGUAACGCGUGGGAAUCUGCCCUUGGGUUCGGAAUAACUCGCCGAAAGGCGUGCUAAUACCGGAUGAUGACGUAAGUCCAAAGAUUUAUCGCCCAAGGAUGAGCCCGCGUUGGAUUAGCUAGUUGGUGAGGUAAAGGCUCACCAAGGCGACGAUCCAUAGCUGGUCUGAGAGGAUGAUCAGCCACACUGGGACUGAGACACGGCCCAGACUCCUACGGGAGGCAGCAGUGGGGAAUAUUGGACAAUGGGCGAAAGCCUGAUCCAGCAAUGCCGCGUGAGUUAUGAAGGCCUUAGGGUUGUAAAGCUCUUUUACCCGGGAUGAUAAUGACCGUACCGGGAGAAUAAGCUCCGGCUAACUCCGUG